RNAcentral lists this long non-coding RNA (699 nucleotides) under Prunus dulcis (almond). Its description in RNAcentral is "sRNA ncRNA". Lineage: Eukaryota; Viridiplantae; Streptophyta; Magnoliopsida; Rosales; Rosaceae. The record is from RNAcentral.
AUGGACACCAAUCCAUGUCCGCCAAAUGGUGACAAAGAAAAGAGAGAAAACAUGGAGAAAAGAAAACAGGAGUUGCUAACUACCAUUGAGAAGCAGGAUGAUAAAGUACAUCAACUUCAAACGAGCGCCUUCAACCUUGCAAACUACUACUUCGUCUUUCAAGGACUUAUUUUGGGGCCUAUCGUCACUGCGACCACAGCGCUCAGAUGCUCAGAUCGCUGGUUCCUUUUCAGCCUCUCUCUGAUAGCAGCCAUACUCAACUUGGUUUCAUUGCUUGUAAUUGGAAGCAAAUAUAAAAAAGGCGUUAUGCAGAGACACCAAACCAAGAGUGAGCUCAUUGAAUUAGAAAGUGAUCUGAGCAAGCUAGAAACUUCACCUUCAGAUCAACGGCUGAAGGCUAAAAUAUUAUCGUACUGGGAUACGACGAAAAUUCAACAUCCUAUGACUGUAGGAAAUAAGGAUGAAUCGGAACUAAGGCGGAGGGUCAUGCCUGUUGUUACAAAUUAUCUACGUGAGUUUUACUAUGUAAUUUGCAUGGGUCUGUUUAUAAGCUUUGCCGUCAUCGUGAUUGUGGGUUGCUGGACCAUUCCUUGCAAGAAAGCUCUUCAAUGCACACCCCCGAUAUCCGACAUCAACACUGGUAAAUGCAUUAGGGUUUGUGAAGGCGCCAAGUGUAUGAGCAUCUGCACCCAAUUCUAG